UACGUAGGGGGCAAGCGUUGUCCGGAAUCAUUGGGCGUAAAGCGCGUGUAGGCGGUUCUGUAAGUCUGCUGUGAAAGUCCAGGGCUCAACCCUGGGAUGCCGGUGGAUACUGCAGGGCUAGAGUACGGAAGAGGCGAGUGGAAUUCCCGGUGUAGCGGUGAAAUGCGCAGAUAUCAGGAAGAACACCUAUGGCGAAGGCAGCACUCUGGGACGGUACUGACGCUGAGACGCGAAAGCGUGGGGAGCGAACAGG
RNAcentral lists this ribosomal RNA (253 nucleotides) under uncultured bacterium. RNAcentral describes it as "partial 16S ribosomal RNA". It matches the Rfam family "Bacterial small subunit ribosomal RNA", at positions 524 to 776 of the family's 1533-position model. The record is from RNAcentral.